Molecule: unclassified non-coding RNA, 345 nt
Filed under: soil metagenome
Description: partial contains 5.8S ribosomal RNA, internal transcribed spacer 2, and large subunit ribosomal RNA
Rfam family: 5.8S ribosomal RNA (bases 1-120)
Source: RNAcentral
GAUGGAGAACGUAGCGAAAUGCGAUACGUAAUGUGAAUUGCAGAAUUCAGUGAAUCAUCGAGUCUUUGAACGCACAUUGCGCCCCCUGGUAUUCCGGGGGGCAUGCCUGUCCGAGCGUCAUUGCUGCCCUCAAGCACGGCUUGUGUGUUGGGCCUCCGUCCUCCUCCCGGGGGACGGGCCCGAAAGGCAGCGGCGGCACCGCGUCCGGUCCUCGAGCGUAUGGGGCUUCGUCACCCGCUCUUGUAGGCCCGGCCGGCGCUUGCCGACACAUCAAUCUUUUUUCCAGGUUGACCUCGGAUCAGGUAGGGAUACCCGCUGAACUUAAGCAUAUCAAUAAGCGGAGGA